Molecule: long non-coding RNA, 2075 nt
Organism: Peromyscus californicus insignis
Lineage: Eukaryota; Metazoa; Chordata; Mammalia; Rodentia; Cricetidae
Exons: 5
Source: RefSeq, a predicted model, not a curated record
UAACUUAUCAGGCAAUGUAUAUAUGGAAAUUAUUGAAUUUGUGUUAGGAGAAAUAAGGCUUGACAUAUACAAUUCUAGAAAUAACGCUAGUGUAAAGAUCAACUUUAUGGUGGUUUGGAUGAGAAUGGCCCUAAUAGUCUCACAUAUUUGAAUGUUUGCUUCCUAGUUGGUGGACUGUUUAGGAAGGAUUAGCAAGUGUGGCCUUGUAGGAGAGGUGUGUCACUGUUGGUGGAAUUUGAGGUUUCAAAAGCCCAUGCCCAGCCUCUCUCUCUUUCUCUCUCUCUUCCUGCCUGUAACUUGUGGAUCAGCUAUGAGCUCUCAGAUACUGCUCUCAACACUGCCUACCUGCUGCCAUGCUUUGCACCAUGAUGGUCGUGGACUCACCCUCUGAAACUAAGCCAAAAGUCUGACAUCAAGACCUUGGUAGAGAAUGAACUUGAUGAAGUUUCGGGUGCUGGGCCAUUGCUCUACCACCAGGCUAUGUGAUACCUCUGGCCCUUGUCAGAUAUUUUAAGGAAAAAAAAAUCUUUAUACUUUAGUACUUUUUUUUUUUGAGACAGGGUUUCUCUGUGUAGUUUUGGUUCCUGUCCUGGAUCUUGCUCUGUAGACCAGGCUGGCUUCUCAAACUCACAGAGAUCCGCCUGUCUCUGCCUCCCAAGUGCUGGGAUUAAAGGCAUGUGCCACCACCAUCCGGUAUACUUUUGUACCUUUAAUAAAAUUUCUUCCUUGCAAAAGAUCUUUACCAAUCCCACAUCAGAUAGAGGACUGAUCUCUAAAAUAUAUAAAGAACUCAAGAAACUAGACAGCAAUAUAUCAAGUAAUCCAAUUAAAAAAUGGGCUACAGAGCUAAACAGAAAAUUCUCACUAAAAGAAUCUCAAAUGACCAAAAGACAUUUAAGGAAAUGUUCAACAUCCUUAGCCAUCAGGGAAAUGCAAGUCAAAAUGACUCUGAGAUACCAUCUUAUGCUUGUCAGAAUGGCUAAGAUAAAAAUACAGAUGACAGCUUUUGUUGGAGAGAAUGUGGAGAAAGGGGAACACUCCUCCACUGCUGGUGGGAAUGCAAUCUUUUACAGCCACUCUGGAAAUCAGUAUGGUGGUAUCUCAGAAAAUUGGGAAUCCACCUGCCUCAAGAUCCAGCAAUACCACUCCUGGGCAUAUACCCAAAAGUUGCUCAACCACACCACAAGGACAUUUGCUCAGCCAUCUUCAUAGCAGCAUUAUUUGUAAUGGCCAGAACCUGGAAACAACCUAGAUGCCCUUCAACAGAAGAAUGGAUAAAGAAAAUGUGGUACAUUUACACAAUGGAGUAUUAUGCAGCAGUAAAAAAAAAUGUCAUCAUGAAAUUUGGCAAAUGGAUGGAACUAGAAAAAAAUCAUCCUGAGUGAGAUAAUCCAGACACAGAAAGACAAACAUGAACCUACAUCCAGUGACUGAUGGAAGCAGAUGCAGAGAUCCACAGCCAAGCACUUGGCCAAGAUCCUGGAGUUCAGUUGAAGAGAGGGAGGAAGGAUGGUAGGUGCUGGAAAGUACUCAAUCAGUCACUUCCUGAACUGAGGUCUUUCUGUGCCUUCUCUCCAUCUUCACAAUGGCGUUUCUCUCAGCUUCCUCUCCCGAGAUCAGCUGCUUCCAUCCUGACUCUACAUGACCUUUCAGGCUAAAUACUCCACAGUAACCGGCUCAUUAGAGCCCAAAUUCUAAAUGCAUGGGGGGAAAAGCUCCCUGGCUUAUCCUAGCCUACAGGUCUAUGUAUACAAUGUCACAGGUCCUUCUGUUCAGGUGCGCUGGGGCCACGCUUGUAGUGGGUAGCCAUUCCAGCUUUGAUCUGGAAGUUCCAACCCCCAUUGAGACUUCGGCAACUGUCACGCCUACAAGGCGGGGCCAAGGGAGGCGCCUGGGGACCCGAGAUCUGGAUCGGGGAGCGCGCACUGCUCCGCUCUGGGACCCUGGAUGGUGGAGGUGGGCCAAGCAGAGCUCCAGAGAACACCGCUGGACUGCGAUACACCUUCCCCAGACCCCGCGACCUACCUAUCCCUUAAUUUGUAAGUUACGCCAUUAAAUAAAUCUCCUUUUAACUA